RNAcentral lists this transfer RNA (66 nucleotides) under Ultragryllacris sp. 1 JL-2022a. Its description in RNAcentral is "tRNA-Glu". The record is from RNAcentral. Lineage: Eukaryota; Metazoa; Arthropoda; Insecta; Orthoptera; Gryllacrididae.
AAUUAUAUAGUUUAAUAAAAACAAUACAUUUUCAUUGUAUCAAUAAUACCUAAGUAUUUAUAAUUA